GACGUAGGGCGCGAGCGUUGUCCGGAUUUAUUGGGCAUAAAGAGCUCGUAGGCGGCUUGUCGCGUCGACUGUGAAAACUCGGGGCUCAACUCCGAGCUUGCAGUCGAUACGGGCAGGCUAGAGUUCGGUAGGGGAGACUGGAAUUCCUGGUGUAGCGGUGAAAUGCGCAGAUAUCAGGAGGAACACCGGUGGCGAAGGCGGGUCUCUGGGCCGAUAUUGACGCUGAGGAGCGAAAGCGUGGGGAGCGAACAGG
Molecule: ribosomal RNA, 253 nt
Filed under: uncultured bacterium
Lineage: Bacteria
Description: partial 16S ribosomal RNA
Rfam family: Bacterial small subunit ribosomal RNA
Source: RNAcentral